RNAcentral lists this long non-coding RNA (245 nucleotides) under Phoenix dactylifera (date palm). Its description in RNAcentral is "long non-coding RNA (PDAC_LNC005623)". Lineage: Eukaryota; Viridiplantae; Streptophyta; Magnoliopsida; Arecales; Arecaceae. The record is from RNAcentral.
UAUUCUAACAUAAGAGAUCCUACAUUACAUUGUGAGAGACCACUCGAUCAUCACUAUUGUGUACAAUACAUAGAUGAUUAUGAUUGGUACGUUAGACCUCUCAAGCUCAAUCCAGGCUGUUGAAAAGCGCAACUCCCUCGUAGCAACUUUAUUACAAUCUGCUUAUUGGAAGAGGUUCACUAUUUAACAAUGAGAUGGAUCAUGUUAUCCAUGAGGUCUGCAACUCUAGAUAAAUAGAGGCUAUG